This 253-nucleotide ribosomal RNA is filed under the name uncultured bacterium. RNAcentral's name for it is "partial 16S ribosomal RNA". It matches the Rfam family "Bacterial small subunit ribosomal RNA", at positions 524 to 776 of the family's 1533-position model. The record is from RNAcentral.
UACGUAGGGACCGAGCGUUGUCCGGAAUCAUUGGGCGUAAAGAGCGUGUAGGCGGCCACUUAAGUCCUGCGUGAAAUCUUGCGGCUCAACCGCAAGCGGUCGUGGGAAACUGGGUGGCUAGAGUGCGGGAGAGGAGAGUGGAAUUCCUGGUGUAGCGGUGGAAUGCGCAGAUAUCAGGAAGAACACCCGUGGCGAAGACGGCUCUCUGGAACGCAACUGACGCUGAGACGCGAAAGCGUGGGGAGCAAACAGG